This 340-nucleotide unclassified non-coding RNA is filed under the name soil metagenome. Its description in RNAcentral is "partial contains 5.8S ribosomal RNA, internal transcribed spacer 2, and large subunit ribosomal RNA". The stretch from base 3 to 121 matches the Rfam family "5.8S ribosomal RNA", at positions 36 to 154 of the family's 154-position model. The record is from RNAcentral.
GAAUGAAGAACGUAGCGAAAUGCGAUACGUAGUGUGAAUUGCAGAAUUCAGUGAAUCAUCGAAUCUUUGAACGCACAUUGCACCUCUCGGUAUUCCGGGAGGUAUGCCUGUUCGAGCGUCAUUUGUACCCUCAAGCUCUGCUUGGUGUUGGGUGUUUGUUCCGCCUCUGUGUGUGAACUCGCCUCAAAACAAUUGGCAGCCGGCGUACUUGUUUCGGAGCGCAGCACAUUUUGCGAUCCAGAUCAACGUACAGCGGCAUCCAAGAAGCCUUAUUUAACGCUCUUGACCUCGGAUCAGGUAGGGAUACCCGCUGAACUUAAGCAUAUCAAUAAGCGGAGGA